Molecule: ribosomal RNA, 737 nt
Filed under: Staphylococcus aureus
Lineage: Bacteria; Bacillati; Bacillota; Bacilli; Caryophanales; Staphylococcaceae
Description: partial 23S ribosomal RNA
Rfam family: Bacterial large subunit ribosomal RNA
Source: RNAcentral
UGCAAGGUUAAGCAGUAAAUGUGGAGCCGUAGCGAAAGCGAGUCUGAAUAGGGCGUUUAGUAUUUGGUCGUAGACCCGAAACCAGGUGAUCUACCCUUGGUCAGGUUGAAGUUCAGGUAACACUGAAUGGAGGACCGAACCGACUUACGUUGAAAAGUGAGCGGAUGAACUGAGGGUAGCGGAGAAAUUCCAAUCGAACCUGGAGAUAGCUGGUUCUCUCCGAAAUAGCUUUAGGGCUAGCCUCAAGUGAUGAUUAUUGGAGGUAGAGCACUGUUUGGACGAGGGGCCCCUCUCGGGUUACCGAAUUCAGACAAACUCCGAAUGCCAAUUAAUUUAACUUGGGAGUCAGAACAUGGGUGAUAAGGUCCGUGUUCGAAAGGGAAACAGCCCAGACCACCAGCUAAGGUCCCAAAAUAUAUGUUAAGUGGAAAAGGAUGUGGCGUUGCCCAGACAACUAGGAUGUUGGCUUAGAAGCAGCCAUCAUUUAAAGAGUGCGUAAUAGCUCACUAGUCGAGUGACACUGCGCCGAAAAUGUACCGGGGCUAAACAUAUUACCGAAGCUGUGGAUUGUCCUUUGGACAAUGGUAGGAGAGCGUUCUAAGGGCGUUGAAGCAUGAUCGUAAGGACAUGUGGAGCGCUUAGAAGUGAGAAUGCCGGUGUGAGUAGCGAAAGACGGGUGAGAAUCCCGUCCACCGAUUGACUAAGGUUUCCAGAGGAAGGCUCGUCCGCUCUGGGUU